This 160-nucleotide non-coding RNA is filed under the name Firmicutes bacterium CAG:124. Its description in RNAcentral is "glmS glucosamine-6-phosphate activated ribozyme aptamer". It matches the Rfam family "glmS glucosamine-6-phosphate activated ribozyme aptamer". Rfam says of the family: This entry contains a glucosamine-6-phosphate activated ribozyme that is found in the mRNA for GlmS. Lineage: Bacteria; Bacillati; Bacillota. The record is from Rfam by way of RNAcentral. RNAcentral also lists the same sequence under 1 other name.
UCGCCAUCACAAGCGCCAUGCGCCUGCCGGACUCCGGCAGGACAACGAGGAGGAACGUGAUCGAGGAUUCGGCGGAUGCGUUCCCGUGCAGUCUCUGUGCGCGUAACGAAGUCAGAAAUAUGCGGGCGACCGCAAAACAAAGGGGCUUUGAACAGAGGAU